AAUCUGUGGCUCAGUGGCAGAGUUCCUGCCUUGCAUGCAGAAGGCCCCUGGUUCAAUCCCCAGCAGUUCCAGGUAGGGCUA
Molecule: non-coding RNA, 81 nt
Organism: Podarcis lilfordi (Lilford's wall lizard)
Lineage: Eukaryota; Metazoa; Chordata; Lepidosauria; Squamata; Lacertidae
Source: the annotation of a GenBank genome assembly